CUGCAGCCCAAGCCUGCUGCCACUUAGGUGGUCCCAAAUUUCUUCUUGCUUCCAGUUCCUCAGCUCCUUUUGGAAGUUUUGGAAGGACUCUGUGACAGCUUUUAGCUCUGAGCAGCUGAUUCAUUAAUUAGCAUUAGCUUGAAAGGCCAUGCUUUUUCCCUGGAGAAUUCCUGAGGGCACACCAGAUACUUGGUCCCUUUUCCCAAGCUGGGCACAGACAUGGAAUUCUCCUUGACUUCACCAUGAGAGAGCUUCAAAAAUUAAAUCCCAAAGUGAGAUAGCCCAAACCCAGCUUUAUUCUAGGGGAAGCCAGAGCAGCAGCAGGGCUCAGACACUUGGAUGCUGCUGCUGAGGGAUCCAUGAGCUCAUAGAUACCUUAAAGC
Long non-coding RNA from Oenanthe melanoleuca, 383 nucleotides. RefSeq lists it as uncharacterized. The record is from RefSeq and is a predicted model, not a curated record. Lineage: Eukaryota; Metazoa; Chordata; Aves; Passeriformes; Muscicapidae. The transcript has 4 exons.